Molecule: ribosomal RNA, 429 nt
Filed under: Chloroflexota bacterium
Lineage: Bacteria; Bacillati; Chloroflexota
Description: Chloroflexi bacterium partial 16S ribosomal RNA
Rfam family: Bacterial small subunit ribosomal RNA
Source: RNAcentral
UGGGGAAUAUUGCACAAUGGGCGCAAGCCUGAUGCAGCCAUGCCGUGUGUAUGAAGAAGGCCUUCGGGUUGUAAAGUACUUUCAGCGGGGAGGAAGGGAGUAAAGUUAAUACCUUUGCUCAUUGACGUUACCCGCAGAAGAAGCACCGGCUAACUCCGUGCCAGCAGCCGCGGUAAUACGGAGGGUGCAAGCGUUAAUCGGAAUUACUGGGCGUAAAGCGCACGCAGGCGGUUUGUUAAGUCAGAUGUGAAAUCCCCGGGCUCAACCUGGGAACUGCAUCUGAUACUGGCAAGCUUGAGUCUCGUAGAGGGGGGUAGAAUUCCAGGUGUAGCGGUGAAAUGCGUAGAGAUCUGGAGGAAUACCGGUGGCGAAGGCGGCCCCCUGGACGAAGACUGACGCUCAGGUGCGAAAGCGUGGGGAGCAAACAGG